RNAcentral lists this transfer RNA (76 nucleotides) under Paracoccaceae bacterium. RNAcentral describes it as "Rhodobacteraceae bacterium (aquatic metagenome) tRNA-Val". It matches the Rfam family "tRNA". Rfam says of the family: Transfer RNA (tRNA) molecules are approximately 80 nucleotides in length. Their secondary structure includes four short double-helical elements and three loops (D, anti-codon, and T loops). The record is from RNAcentral. Lineage: Bacteria; Pseudomonadati; Pseudomonadota; Alphaproteobacteria; Rhodobacterales; Paracoccaceae.
GGGUGAUUAGCUCAGCUGGUAGAGCGCUUCGUUUACACCGAAGAUGUCGGCGGUUCGAAUCCGUCAUCACCCACCA